CCUACGGGUGGCAGCAGUGAGGAAUAUUGGUCAAUGGGCGGAAGCCUGAACCAGCCAAGUCGCGUGAGGGAUUAAGGCCCUGCGGGUCGUAAACCUCUUUUGCCGGGGAGCAGUGGUCCGGACGCGUCCGGACCGGGAGAGUACCUGGAGAAAAAGCAUCGGCUACCACCGUGCCAGCAGCCGCGGUAAUACGGGGGAUGCGAGCGUUAUCCGGAUUUAUGGGGGUUAACGGGUGCGUGGGGGGAAAUUUAAGUCGGCGGUAAAAUGUCGGGGCUCAACCUCGGCGUGCCGUCGAAACUGGGUGCCUUGAGUGGGCGAGAAGUAUGCGGAAGGCGGGGUGUAGCGGUGAAAUGCAUAGAUAGCACGCAGAACCCCGAUUGCGAAGGCAGCAUACUGGCGGCCUACUGACGCUGAGGCACGAAAGUGCGGGUAUCGAACAGGAUUAGAUACCCCAGUAGUC
This 460-nucleotide ribosomal RNA is filed under the name uncultured bacterium. RNAcentral's name for it is "partial 16S ribosomal RNA". It matches the Rfam family "Bacterial small subunit ribosomal RNA", at positions 338 to 795 of the family's 1533-position model. The record is from RNAcentral.